Mauremys reevesii (Reeves's turtle) is the source of this 328-nucleotide long non-coding RNA. RefSeq lists it as uncharacterized. The record is from RefSeq and is a predicted model, not a curated record. The transcript has 3 exons. NCBI's taxonomy places the organism in Eukaryota, Metazoa, Chordata, Testudines, Geoemydidae.
UUUGCCCCAGGCCAAGCAACUACAGGAUAAGUGUACUUCGCUCUACUUUCCAAGGAAGUACAAAGGGUUUUCUUAAAAUAGCAACAUAGGAAUUGGAAGUUUUGCCCUCUUAUCAACAGCUCCAUCUGUAAACAGGGGAGUGGUCCCAACAUAUCAAUCUAUGAAUAAGUCAAUCAUUAAAGACUAUAGCAUCUGAACAGCUCUUAUCUAGGAAGAACAAAGACGUGACUGCAUCCUAGAAAAAAGCCAAUAAAAGCUUCGUGAAACUGCCAGACCUGACUAGACCAGUGGACCAUCUAGUCCAGUGUCCUAUCUUUGACAAUUCCAC